Molecule: ribosomal RNA, 460 nt
Filed under: Digitipes barnabasi
Lineage: Eukaryota; Metazoa; Arthropoda; Chilopoda; Scolopendromorpha; Scolopendridae
Description: eukaryotic LSU rRNA
Rfam family: Eukaryotic large subunit ribosomal RNA
Source: RNAcentral
UAACUCGCAAAUAUCCACGAAACCCUAAGGCGCAAUGAAAGUGAAGGUCAGGCACAGCACUGACUGAGGCAGGAUCCGUCCGGGUGAGCGAAGCUCUUCUUCCUUUCGCGGGUUCGUCCCGCGGGGGAGCUCGGCGGCGCACUGCCAGCCCAUCUCGGCCGCUUCCUGUCGGCGAGGUGGAGCUAGAGCGCACACGUUGGGACCCGAAAGAUGGUGAACUAUGCUCGGGCAGGACGAAGCCAGAGGAAACUCUGGUGGAGGUCCGUAGCGAUUCUGACGUGCAAAUCGAUCGUCGGACCCGAGUAUAGGGGCGAAAGACUAAUCGAACCGUCUAGUAGCUGGUUCCCUCCGAAGUUUCCCUCAGGAUAGCUGGUGCUCGGAAAGGAACGCAGUCUCAUCCGGUAAAGCGAAUGAUUAGAGGCCUUGGGGCCGAAACGACCUCAACCUAUUCUCAAACUUU